RNAcentral lists this ribosomal RNA (467 nucleotides) under uncultured bacterium. Its description in RNAcentral is "partial 16S ribosomal RNA". It matches the Rfam family "Bacterial small subunit ribosomal RNA", at positions 28 to 506 of the family's 1533-position model. The record is from RNAcentral.
GACGAACGCUGGCGGCGUGCUUAACACAUGCAAGUCGAACGGAAAGGCCCUGCUUUUGUGGGGUGCUCGAGUGGCGAACGGGUGAGUAACACGUGAGUAACCUGCCCUUGACUUUGGGAUAACUUCAGGAAACUGGGGCUAAUACCGGAUAGGAGCUCCUGCUGCAUGGUGGGGGUUGGAAAGUUUCGGCGGUUGGGGAUGGACUCGCGGCUUAUCAGCUUGUUGGUGGGGUAGUGGCUUACCAAGGCUUUGACGGGUAGCCGGCCUGAGAGGGUGACCGGCCACAUUGGGACUGGGAUACGGCCCAGACUCCUACGGGAGGAAGCGGUGGAGAAUAUUGCACAAUGGGCGGAAGCCUGAUGCAGCAACGCCGCGUGCGGGAUGACGGCCUUCGGGUUGUAAACCGCUUUCGCCUGUGACGAAGCGUGAGUGACGGUAAUGGGUAAAGAAGCACCGGCUAACUACGU